CCUACGGGUGGCAGCAGUGAGGAAUAUUGGUCAAUGGGCGCGAGCCUGAACCAGCCAAGUCGCGUGAGGGAAGACGGUCCUAUGGAUUGUAAACCUCUUUUGUCGGGGAGCAAAAGACGACACGCGUGGCGUUCCGAGAGUACCCGAAGAAAAAGCAUCGGCUAACUCCGUGACAGCAGCCGCGGUAAUCCGGAGUAUGCGAGCGUUAUCCGGAUUUAUUGGGUUUAAAGGGUGCGCAGGCGGAAGAUCAAGGCAGCGGGAAAAGUGCGAGGCUCACCCUAUUCGAGCCGUUGAGACUGGUUUGCUUGAGUGAGCGAGAGGUAUGCGGAAUGCGUGGUGUAGCGGUGAAAUGCAUAGAUAUCACGAAGAACUCCGAUGGCGAAGGCAGCAUACCGGCGCUUAACUGACGCUCAUGCACGAAAGUGUGGGUAGCGAACAGGAUUAGAUACCCCUGUAGUC
Molecule: ribosomal RNA, 459 nt
Filed under: uncultured bacterium
Lineage: Bacteria
Description: partial 16S ribosomal RNA
Rfam family: Bacterial small subunit ribosomal RNA
Source: RNAcentral